Molecule: ribosomal RNA, 254 nt
Filed under: uncultured bacterium
Lineage: Bacteria
Description: partial 16S ribosomal RNA
Rfam family: Bacterial small subunit ribosomal RNA
Source: RNAcentral
UACGUAGGGUGCGAGCGUUGUCCGGAAUUACUGGGCGUAAAGAGCUCGUAGGUGGUUUGUCGCGUUGUCCGUGAAAAACUCACAACUCAAUUGUGGGCGUGCGGGCGAUACGGGCAGACUGGAGUACUGCAGGGGAGACUGGAAUUCCUGGUGUAGCGGUGGAAUGCGCAGAUAUCAGGAGGAACACCGGUGGCGAAGGCGGGUCUCUGGGCAGUAACUGACGCUGAGGAGCGAAAGCGUGGGGAGCGAACAGG